AGCAGCCGCGGUAAUUCCAGCUCUAAUAGCGUAUAUUAAAGUUGUUGCAGUUAAAAAGCUCGUAGUUGAAUUUCGGGACCAAUCUGCCGGUCGUGCCUCCGGUAUGCACUGGUUUUAUUGGUUUCUCCCUUCUGACGAAUCAUGAUGUCAUUAAUUUGGUGUCAUGGGGAAUCAGGACUGUUACUUUGAAAAAAUUAGAGUGUUUAAAGCAGGCUCACGCUUGAAUACAUUAGCAUGGAAUAAUGAAAUAGGACGUUUGACCCUAUUUUGUUGGUUUCUAGGAUCGACGUAAUGAUUAAUAGGGAUAGUUGGGGGCAUUAGUAUUCAAUUGUCAGAGGUGAAAUUCUUGGAUUUAUUGAAGACUAACUACUGCGAAAGCAUUUGCCAAGGAUGUUUUCAUUAAUCAAGGACGAAAGUUAGGGGAUCGAAGACGAUCAGAUACCGUCGUAGUCUUAACCAUAAACUAUGCCGACUAGGGAUCGGAUGAUGUUAAUUUUUUAAUGACUCAUUCGGCGCCUUA
RNAcentral lists this ribosomal RNA (520 nucleotides) under uncultured Glomus. RNAcentral describes it as "SSU rRNA". It matches the Rfam family "Eukaryotic small subunit ribosomal RNA", at positions 569 to 1090 of the family's 1831-position model. The record is from RNAcentral. Lineage: Eukaryota; Fungi; Glomeromycota; Glomeromycetes; Glomerales; Glomeraceae.